This 743-nucleotide ribosomal RNA is filed under the name Staphylococcus sp. Its description in RNAcentral is "bacterial SSU rRNA". It matches the Rfam family "Bacterial small subunit ribosomal RNA", at positions 79 to 805 of the family's 1533-position model. The record is from RNAcentral. Lineage: Bacteria; Bacillati; Bacillota; Bacilli; Caryophanales; Staphylococcaceae.
CUUGCUCCUUUGACGUUAGCGGCGGACGGGUGAGUAACACGUGGGUAACCUACCUAUAAGACUGGGAUAACUUCGGGAAACCGGAGCUAAUACCGGAUAACAUUUGGAACCGCAUGGUUCUAAAGUGAAAGAUGGUUUUGCUAUCACUUAUAGAUGGACCCGCGCCGUAUUAGCUAGUUGGUAAGGUAACGGCUUACCAAGGCGACGAUACGUAGCCGACCUGAGAGGGUGAUCGGCCACACUGGAACUGAGACACGGUCCAGACUCCUACGGGAGGCAGCAGUAGGGAAUCUUCCGCAAUGGGCGAAAGCCUGACGGAGCAACGCCGCGUGAGUGAUGAAGGGUUUCGGCUCGUAAAACUCUGUUAUUAGGGAAGAACAAAUGUGUAAGUAACUGUGCACAUCUUGACGGUACCUAAUCAGAAAGCCACGGCUAACUACGUGCCAGCAGCCGCGGUAAUACGUAGGUGGCAAGCGUUAUCCGGAAUUAUUGGGCGUAAAGCGCGCGUAGGCGGUUUCUUAAGUCUGAUGUGAAAGCCCACGGCUCAACCGUGGAGGGUCAUUGGAAACUGGGAAACUUGAGUGCAGAAGAGGAAAGUGGAAUUCCAUGUGUAGCGGUGAAAUGCGCAGAGAUAUGGAGGAACACCAGUGGCGAAGGCGAACUUUCUGGUCUGUAACUGACGCUGAUGUGCGAAAGCGUGGGGAUCAAACAGGAUUAGAUACCCCUGGUAGUCCACGCCGUAA